CAGUCGCCGCGGGAAAACGAAGGGGGCUAGCGUUGUUCGAAUUUACUGGGCGUAAAGGGCGCGUAGGCGGACUGAUAAGUCAGGGGUGAAAUCCCAAGGCUCAACCUUGGAACUGCCUUUGAUACUGUUUGUCUUGAGUUCGAGAGAGGUAAGUGGAACUGCGAGUGUAGAGGUGAAAUUCGUAGAUAUUCGCAAGAACACCAGUGGCGAAGGCGGCUUACUGGCUCGAUACUGACGCUGAGGCGCGAAAGCGUGGGGAGCAAACAGGAUUAGAUACCCGUGUAGUCCCUGUCUCUUAUAU
RNAcentral lists this ribosomal RNA (301 nucleotides) under uncultured bacterium. Its description in RNAcentral is "partial 16S ribosomal RNA". It matches the Rfam family "Bacterial small subunit ribosomal RNA", at positions 509 to 809 of the family's 1533-position model. The record is from RNAcentral.